Molecule: transfer RNA, 89 nt
Filed under: Eucampia zodiacus
Lineage: Eukaryota; Bacillariophyta; Thalassiosirophyceae; Eucampiales; Eucampiaceae
Description: tRNA-Ser
Rfam family: tRNA
About the family: Transfer RNA (tRNA) molecules are approximately 80 nucleotides in length. Their secondary structure includes four short double-helical elements and three loops (D, anti-codon, and T loops). Further hydrogen bonds mediate the characteristic L-shaped molecular structure. tRNAs have two regions of fundamental functional importance: the anti-codon, which is responsible for specific mRNA codon recognition, and the 3' end, to which the tRNAs corresponding amino acid is attached (by aminoacyl-tRNA synthetases). tRNAs cope with the degeneracy of the genetic code in two manners: having more than one tRNA (with a specific anti-codon) for a particular amino acid; and 'wobble' base-pairing, i.e. permitting non-standard base-pairing at the 3rd anti-codon position.
Source: RNAcentral
GGAAAAAUGACUGAGUGGCUUAAGGUGAAGAUCUGCUAAAUCUUUGUAUAAAUAAAUUUGUACCGUGGGUUCAAAUCCCACUUUUUCCU